GGGUUGUGAGGUUAAGCGACUAAGCGUACACGGUGGAUGCCCUGGCAGUCAGAGGCGAUGAAGGGCGUGCUAAUCUGCGAUAAGCGCCGGUAAGGUGAUAUGAACCGUUAUAACCGGCGAUACCCGAAUGGGGAAACCCAGUGUGACUCGUCACACUAUCAUUAACUGAAUCCAUAGGUUAAUGAGGCGAACCGGGGGAACUGAAACAUCUAAGUACCCCGAGGAAAAGAAAUCAACCGAGAUUCCCCCAGUAGCGGCGAGCGAACGGGGAGGAGCCCAGAGCCUGAAUCAGCAUGUGUGUUAGUGGAAGCGUCUGGAAAGGCGCGCGAUACAGGGUGACAGCCCCGUACACAAAAGCGCAUGUGCUGUGAGCUCGAUGAGUAGGGCGGGACACGUGGUAUCCUGUCUGAAUAUGGGGGGACCAUCCUCCAAGGCUAAAUACUCCUGACUGACCGAUAGUGAACCAGUACCGUGAGGGAAAGGCGAAAAGAACCCCGGCGAGGGGAGUGAAAAAGAACCUGAAACCGUGUACGUACAAGCAGUGGGAGCACAGGUUUACCUGUGUGACUGCGUACCUUUUGUAUAAUGGGUCAGCGACUUAUAUUCUGUAGCAAGGUUAACCGAAUAGGGGAGCCGGAGGGAAACCGAGUCUUAAUUGGGCGUUAAGUUGCAGGGUAUAGACCCGAAACCCGGUGAUCUAGCCAUGGGCAGGUUGAAGGUUGGGUAACACUAACUGGAGGACCGAACCGACUAAUGUUGAAAAAUUAGCGGAUGACCUGUGGCUGGGGGUGAAAGGCCAAUCAAACCGGGAGAUAGCUGGUUCUCCCCGAAAGCUAUUUAGGUAGCGCCUCGUGAAUUCAUCUCCGGGGGUAGAGCACUGUUUCGGCUAGGGGGCCAUCCCGGCUUACCAACCCGAUGCAAACUGCGAAUACCGGAGAAUGUUAUCACGGGAGACACACGGCGGGUGCUAACGUCCGUCGUGAAGAGGGAAACAACCCAGACCGCCAGCUAAGGUCCCAAAGUCAUGGUUAAGUGGGAAACGAUGUGGGAAGGCCCAGACAGCCAGGAUGUUGGCUUAGAAGCAGCCAUCAUUUAAAGAAAGCGUAAUAGCUCACUGGUCGAGUCGGCCUGCGCGGAAGAUGUAACGGGGCUAAACCAUGCACCGAAGCUGCGGCAGCGACACUGUGUGUUGUUGGGUAGGGGAGCGUUCUGUAAGCCUGCGAAGGUGUCCCGUGAGGGAUGCUGGAGGUAUCAGAAGUGCGAAUGCUGACAUAAGUAACGAUAAAGCGGGUGAAAAGCCCGCUCGCCGGAAGACCAAGGGUUCCUGUCCAACGUUAAUCGGGGCAGGGUGAGUCGACCCCUAAGGCGAGGCCGAAAGGCGUAGUCGAUGGGAAACGGGUUAAUAUUCCCGUACUUGGUGUUACUGCGAAGGGGGGACGGAGAAGGCUAUGUUGGCCGGGCGACGGUUGUCCCGGUUUAAGCGUGUAGGUGUGUGUUCCAGGUAAAUCCGGUUCACUUUAACACUGAGGCGUGACGACGAGGCACUACGGUGCUGAAGCAACAAAUGCCCUGCUUCCAGGAAAAGCCUCUAAGCAUCAGGUAACAUCAAAUCGUACCCCAAACCGACACAGGUGGUCAGGUAGAGAAUACCAAGGCGCUUGAGAGAACUCGGGUGAAGGAACUAGGCAAAAUGGUGCCGUAACUUCGGGAGAAGGCACGCUGACACGUAGGUGAAGUGAUUUACUCAUGGAGCUGAAGUCAGUCGAAGAUACCAGCUGGCUGCAACUGUUUAUUAAAAACACAGCACUGUGCAAACACGAAAGUGGACGUAUACGGUGUGACGCCUGCCCGGUGCCGGAAGGUUAAUUGAUGGGGUCAGCGCAAGCGAAGCUCCUGAUCGAAGCCCCGGUAAACGGCGGCCGUAACUAUAACGGUCCUAAGGUAGCGAAAUUCCUUGUCGGGUAAGUUCCGACCUGCACGAAUGGCGUAAUGAUGGCCAGGCUGUCUCCACCCGAGACUCAGUGAAAUUGAACUCGCUGUGAAGAUGCAGUGUACCCGCGGCAAGACGGAAAGACCCCGUGAACCUUUACUAUAGCUUGACACUGAACAUUGAGCCUUGAUGUGUAGGAUAGGUGGGAGGCUUUGAAGUGUGGACGCCAGUCUGCAUGGAGCCGACCUUGAAAUACCACCCUUUAAUGUUUGAUGUUCUAACGUGGACCCGUUACCCGGGUUGCGGACAGUGUCUGGUGGGUAGUUUGACUGGGGCGGUCUCCUCCUAAAGAGUAACGGAGGAGCACGAAGGUUGGCUAAUCCUGGUCGGACAUCAGGAGGUUAGUGCAAUGGCAUAAGCCAGCUUGACUGCGAGCGUGACGGCGCGAGCAGGUGCGAAAGCAGGUCAUAGUGAUCCGGUGGUUCUGAAUGGAAGGGCCAUCGCUCAACGGAUAAAAGGUACUCCGGGGAUAACAGGCUGAUACCGCCCAAGAGUUCAUAUCGACGGCGGUGUUUGGCACCUCGAUGUCGGCUCAUCACAUCCUGGGGCUGAAGUAGGUCCCAAGGGUAUGGCUGUUCGCCAUUUAAAGUGGUACGCGAGCUGGGUUUAGAACGUCGUGAGACAGUUCGGUCCCUAUCUGCCGUGGGCGCUGGAGAACUGAGGGGGGCUGCUCCUAGUACGAGAGGACCGGAGUGGACGCAUCACUGGUGUUCGGGUUGUCAUGCCAAUGGCACUGCCCGGUAGCUAAAUGCGGAAGAGAUAAGUGCUGAAAGCAUCUAAGCACGAAACUUGCCCCGAGAUGAGUUCUCCCUGAGACUUAGAGUCUCCUGAAGGAACGUUGAAGACGACGACGUUGAUAGGCCGGGUGUGUAAGCGCAGCGAUGCGUUGAGCUAACCGGUACUAAUGAACCGUGAGGCUUAACCUUACAACGCCGAAG
RNAcentral lists this ribosomal RNA (2928 nucleotides) under Salmonella enterica subsp. enterica serovar Kentucky. Its description in RNAcentral is "bacterial LSU rRNA". It matches the Rfam family "Bacterial large subunit ribosomal RNA". Lineage: Bacteria; Pseudomonadati; Pseudomonadota; Gammaproteobacteria; Enterobacterales; Enterobacteriaceae. The record is from RNAcentral.